RNAcentral lists this transfer RNA (72 nucleotides) under Planctomycetota bacterium. RNAcentral describes it as "Planctomycetes bacterium (activated sludge metagenome) tRNA-Asn". It matches the Rfam family "tRNA". Rfam says of the family: Transfer RNA (tRNA) molecules are approximately 80 nucleotides in length. Their secondary structure includes four short double-helical elements and three loops (D, anti-codon, and T loops). Lineage: Bacteria; Pseudomonadati; Planctomycetota. The record is from RNAcentral.
UCCUCGGUAGCUCAAUGGUAGAGUAGGUGGCUGUUAACCACUUGGCUGCAAGUUCGAAUCUUGCCCGAGGAG